RNAcentral lists this ribosomal RNA (38 nucleotides) under Fontanospora fusiramosa. RNAcentral describes it as "partial 28S ribosomal RNA". Lineage: Eukaryota; Fungi; Ascomycota; Leotiomycetes; Helotiales; Discinellaceae. The record is from RNAcentral.
UUGACCUCAGAUCAGGUAGGGAUACCCGCUGAACUUAA